RNAcentral lists this ribosomal RNA (432 nucleotides) under uncultured bacterium. RNAcentral describes it as "bacterial SSU rRNA". It matches the Rfam family "Bacterial small subunit ribosomal RNA", at positions 29 to 446 of the family's 1533-position model. The record is from RNAcentral.
AACGAACGCUGGCGGCGUGGAUAAGACAUGCAAGUCGAACGGGAACUCUUUCCGUAGCAAUACGGAGAGAGUUUUAGUGGCGAACGGGUGCGUAACACGUGGGCAAUCUGCCGAGAAGUGGGGGAUAGCUCGCCGAAAAGGCGAAUUAAUACCGCAUAUGAUCAGGGACGACAUCUUCCCAACAUCAAAGCCGGGGCAACCUGGCGCUUCUUGAUGAGCCCGCGGCCUANCAGCUAGUUGGUGAGGUAACGGCUCACCAAGGCUAUGACGGGUAGCUGGUCUGAGAGGACGACCAGUCACACUGGAACUGAGACACGGUCCAGACUCCUACGGAGGCAGCAGUGGGAAUUUUGCGCAAUGGGGAAACCCUGACGCAGCAAUGCCGCGUGGAGGAUGAAGUCCUUUGGGAUGUAGACUCCUUUCGAUCGGGAA